Molecule: long non-coding RNA, 25938 nt
Filed under: Arachis ipaensis
Lineage: Eukaryota; Viridiplantae; Streptophyta; Magnoliopsida; Fabales; Fabaceae
Description: long non-coding RNA (AIPA_LNC001584)
Source: RNAcentral
CCUUUUUUUUCUUUCAGCUCAUUCAGUUUCUUUCUCAAUAAGGAAACACUAAUAUUCGUUUGGUUAAUUGAUGAAUGCAUUCAUUCAUAUUAUUUGUGUAUGGUGUUAUUGGCCUGCUAUUGAGAAUCUAACUUGCUGUUAAGUUUUUUGCGUUUCAUGAUGAAUGGUUUGGUAGUUUGGUUUGUUCUUGAUGGCAAUUUGACAUGAGUGAUUUCAUGUGUGUGAUGAAUAUUGAGGUAGGAAUGGUGCCAGAAACAGAAGGGAUUUUCUCUUAUCUGCUGUUAAGAUUGAUUGAUAUCAUAUUGUAAACCUUUAAUGAUCAUUUGGACCAUUUUGUCAUAUCUAUGAACACUCAUUUUGUGGGGUUAAAUGCCACACAGGGAUUUUUUUUUUUUAAUCCAACAAAAUAUUUCAUCAAUGUAAUAAACGAUCCACUAGGGAUUAUAUACAGGGUAAAUUUAAAAAAGAUCUUACAAAGAUCAAGCUCAGAUGUAAUUGAAUGGGGAAAUAACCUUUUUAAUUCUAUAAUCUGUUAUUCUCUUUCUUACCAAAAACACUAUGUCCGAUUCAAUCUGUCUAAGUGUCUCUACUCUAGAAAAUUUGUAAAUUUGUAGUAUUUAUUUUUGUAGAUUUUAUUAAGCAGCCGGUUUAGUGUAUUGUAAGAUUGAAAGUCUUUAGAUUUUUAAAAUUUAAUUUUCUUUAAUUUUUAGUUCUACAAGUAAUCUGCCAACUUAUUCAUUGCAUCUUACGUUUUUUAUAUUUUUGUUCCCACCGAAAUUGUAAGAUAAUGCAGUAUAACUCCUCUAGUAAAGUAUCAAGCAAUUGAAAACAAUUUAGAGUAUAAAUGAAAAUUAUUGUAACUACUACUUUUAUCAAAAUCUCUCUACCAUUAAGAGAAAGUAGAGCUUGUUUCCAUGGUUGGAGUUUCUCACAGACCUUGUCUUUAAUAUAGUUGAAAGUAGUUCUCUUAGACCACUGAACAAUUGAUGGUAAUCCAAAAUACUUAUUUUGAUUCCCAAUAUGCGGAACCAUAAGAAGAUUAGCAAAUUGGUUUCGGAUUUGAAGCGGUGUAUUUCUGUUGAAAAAAAAAAACAAAUAACUUGUCUAGAUUAACUACUUGGCCACUUAUACUCUGAUAAAUCUGUAAGAUAUUUAGUAAGCCUUGGCAAUGAUUGUAGUUUUGCUAAAUAAAAUUGAAUCAUCUACAAAGAAUAUAUGAAUAAUUCUAGGACAUCUAUGAUUCAAUCUCAAACCAGAAAAAUCUUGUCUCUGUUUACCUCUAUGGAGCAGAUGGAAGAGACUAUCUGCACAAAAUAGAAAUAAAUAAAUAAAAAGGGUCGCUUUGACACACCCUCCACAUGGUUUAAAAUAACCAUGUGGUUGACCAUCCACGGUAACAGAGUAAGAAACUGUUGUCACACAUUCUUUCAUCCAAUCAAGUCAUCUGUCGCAAAACCCAACUUUUUUUUAUCAUUGCCCAAACAAAAGAUCAUUUGACUCUAUCAUAAGCCUUACUCAUAUCGAGUUUUAGAGUUAGGUCACAGUCACCAUAUCUCUUAUUUUUCAGAAAAUGCAUAAACUCAUGAGCAAUAAGAGCAUUAUCACUAAUUAGCCGCCCUUUAACAAAAAUACUUUAAUUGUUAUUAAUCACUAUAUUCAUGACUGUGUUAUAUUCGGUGUACUAAGAUUUUAGAGAUAAUUUUAUAAAAAAACACUAUUAAAAUUUAUAGGUCGAAUAUACUUCAUAAAGCUAGCAUUAUCAACUUUGGAAAUAAGAUAGAUAUAAACAUGAUUAAAAGCUUUAAAAAUUUUACCUCCAAAAAACAAAUUUCAGACCAUUUUAAUCACAUCAUUUUUAAUUGUCCCCCUAAAAUAUUGAAAGAAUUUAGCUAUAAAUCUGUUAUCCAUAGAAGCUGAAAAGGAGUUGAUAAAAAAACUGCUGACUUUAUUUUUGUAUCCGAAACUGACCGAAUCAACCUUUUGUUAGUGGCUGCAUCAAUUUUCCACACAGAGAUUGUUGAGUAUAUUAUAUUAUCAGUUUGAAUGUCUUAUGUUAACAGAAUGUUCAUUUUGAAUGCCUUAUGUCAUUCUUUUUGAUAUUUUAAGAAUAAUUAAAUAUUAUAUAAAUUAGUUAUUGUUAUUAGGUUUAUAAAUAAGCAAAUCAAUUCUAAAAUUGGAUUUUUAGUAGAAAAAAAUAUGGUUUAGAAAUUAAAUUUUUAAAAAUUAGUUUUAAAAUUGUAUUUUUUGUUUAAAAAAUUUAUUUUAAAAUUGGAUUUUAAAUUUGAACUAAAAAAAAAUCAAAUUUAAAAUCGAUUUGUAUGUAAAAUCGUAUUUAAAUAUUAAAACUAACUUAAAACUGAUUUUUGUUUUUUGAAUCAGUUUAGAAACUAGUUUUUUUCUUUAAUCCGGUUUUAAUUUGAUUUCAUGAACUAUAAAACUAGUUUUAGAAUGGACGUUGUUUGGAUCUUUAAAAAUCCAAACCAUGUCUACCCCCACUGUCCCUUAUGCUCAACUUUGAUGCUAUCUUUCAAUCUACGAUGGGAUGCUUAGGCAAAUGACUCAUACUUCACAUCUUGUAUGCUUUGAAGUUGGCGAUUAUUGUUUUGAUUCGUAUUAGCGAACUAGUUGAAUUGCAGAAUCUGUUUAACAUAUUCACUUUCAUACCGAACAAGUGAACAACUAUCUGAUGUAACAAUAUCUUUUCUUUGAUUUACAGAGAUUGGAAAGAAAUAGUAGAUGAGUGGGUCAAGGCCACAGCUAUUGUAGGUAUCAAACGUUCAUCUAGCUUUGUGUGACAACCAUCAAGAUAAUCCCGAAUACCCGAUGCUUUUUUGCGUUUUGAACCUUGAUUCAUGCUUGAAUUUACUACAUGUUUAUAGGAUCAGAAGGCAUUCCAGAUUCUGUAAAUCCAUCAGUUGUUUAUGAAGAGGAAGGACUUCCAUCACCUCCUAUGGACGAAGGAGCUUUCUUGGUAGCUUCAACGGGUUCAAUUGAACUCUCACAGGUAUUUUACCUGUCCCUAAUAUUUUUUUCCUCCCUUUUUUGAACUUAGAUUUAUGUAGAAACUGAUAUUUUUCUACUUCCCUUUGUUGUAUGUCUCGUAUCUGGACGAUGUAAAGUUCUUUGAUGGCAUGAUUGAUAUCGGAAGUGAGUUGAUUUUGCAAUUUCUUAUGUUUAGACUAUCUAGCAUUCACUCUUCGGUUCUGUAUUCGAAUUCCCCAUGUCUUAAUCAGGAUUUUUUUCAGAUCCUCCACAAAAUGGGCAAAAUGAACCCACUGUGAAGCCAAGUAGACCGGUAGCCGCUGAUUCUGGUCCUGGCAGACCACCAAAAUCAAGCAUGCAGCCAAAAAGCAAUGUCGAGCCAAAGGCAGGGGAAGAAGUAGAGAAUGGUACAGUCACAAUGAAGCCUCCGGUCGACCAGCAAGCUGUAAGUAAAACAUCUCUACACAAGUUUGCAAAACUUGACAGAUUAUAGGCAUCUCUAAUAGUUUCCUGUACUUCAGAAAUCGAAGUACUUAGAGGAAGUUGCUGCGAGGAUAGAAGCCGCUAAGAAGAAUCUUCGGGAGAAGAGAGAUGGAGGAGCCGAAAAGAGGAAUGCUAGGGCAGCAAUUUUGAUAUUUUAUAACUAUCAAUUGGUCAUCAAUAUUGUUUUUAAUGGUGUGAGAUCACUCAUUUUUAUUUUGAUAGUUAAGUGUUGGCCAGAAAACACAAAAGUUGCUGCUGUUAGGAAAUUAUUUGAUUUCCUAACUUAUUUGUGGGCAAUACAUAUAUUAAUUAUAAUCACAAAUUAUGCUAUUUCAAAUUAAAUGACUUAUAUAAUGAUGAUCUCAUUUAUUUAUAUAAAUGCUAAAUUGAAUAAGUCAUUAUUACUUUUGAUUUGGAAUUAAAUGAGAAUAAAACCGGAUAUUAUCUUUUGUUCCUUAGAUAAUUAUCUUUUUGGAUUUUAGAUAUAUUAUCUUUUGGGUUUUAGAUACUAUUUUAUUUGGGCUUAAUGGUUUAAUGGGUGCCAUGCUCAAAUAUAAAUAGACUUUCAGGGUUUCGGUCCCCAAUAUGCCAAAGCCGCCUUUGUUACUCUUUCCUCAUCAAAAGAGUUGCAGUUCAGCCUCCUAGGAAUACAGAAGGCUUUGGUUGAGGAAGAUCGAAAGAACCACAAGAUCCAAACUCUUCCGAUCGUAUGAUUUAUGUUUAUGAAUUCAGGUACGCUUCCGCAUUAUGAUAUGACAUAUUUUUUAUGAUUCAAUAUGGAUGAUCUGGAUUAUUGAAAUUAAUUUAUUCCAACAAGUGGUAUCAGAGCCAUUCAUAAUUGAAUCAUUGAAAAUAUUAAAUUUUAAUCUCAUUGGAUCAAUAUAUAUUUGCGUCGUUGCUCUCCUUUUGGAUCAACUUAAUUUUAUGGAUCUGAUGAGUUUAUUAUUUAUUUUUUAUGUGCACACAUGGACUCUAGUGUUUUCUUUAUACAUUGGUUUAUUUGUUCAUUAAAGUGAUGUGUUUGUAUAUAUGAAUGCACUGCGUCCUAACACAUGAUCAAGUAAUAUAUAUAUGGAGAUAAUAAUCAUGCAGACAUAUAUACCUUUUUUUAUUUGUUUAUGGAUUCGUUUUUUUUAAAGGAAGAAAACAAUUGAUAAUAAGUUGCUAAAUAUAUGGAAUUUGGUUUUGAAUCGACUAACCUCUUUGAAUUUAAUAUGAAUUUAAGUUUUAUACGUAUAUAAUUUCGGUACGUCUAAAUGUAUAAAGUUAAAGAAUAUUAAGGAUUAAGUUUUUUUUAUUGUUAUUGUUUUGGUGUUAUACAUAUUUAUUUUAUGGAAAAUUUAAUUCCUUUUAUGAUAUAUUGUGAAUUUAAUUUUGUUUCACACUAAUAUUGACAAUUUUCGUAUUUAAAUAUGUGUAUAACUAAGGAGGUCACAAUAUUAUAUGAUUAUUUUAUAUUGUGUUUAUUGAUUUUAUGCUAUUCAAGCAUUUUAAUUUUGUUACAUAAAGUAUUUUUUUUUAUUGUUACAUAAGGAAAUUAGUAACAAUUUGGAUUAGUAUACCCAUCUAUUUUACAAAGAUUUAGUUUUAGAAUAAAUUGAUUCAACAUUAUGCUGCCAAAGUAGCCUCUUUUGUGAAAAUUGAUUUAUUCAAAACAUAAGGAAUAUGAUGUUAUGUAAUUCAUGCGAAUAUUGGUCAGCCCAAAGGAAGACCUAUAUUUGGCCGAAUUACAUACACAUAUUCAUGGUAAAUAUGGGUAACUAAUUAAGAAUAAAGUAAUGCUUAUUAUUUAUGCGGACAAUGAUCAGCCCAAAGGAAGUUUAUUGUUUGGCCAAAUAAUAAGCAUUGCACACUUUUGUUUAUUUUUUAUUAAUUAUGCAGUCAAUAAUCGGCCCAAAGGAAGGUUAUUGUUUGGCCAAUUAAUAGAAAAUAUAUGCGGUAAUAAAUAGGUUGCGAAGUUUAAGUCUCCAUGUGCGCAUUAAGUCGGUCCAAAGAAAGACUUAAUGUGUGACAGGAAUUUUGACAAUAUUUGAUUACUGCAAUGAGAGUAUCACUUACAGUUAAUUUUCUAUCCAAAGAUUGAAAAUUAAUGUUGUGCUAGAUAUCUCAAUAUGGAUCUUUUUCCCAUUAAUUAACUAAUGUUUACUGUAUGUUAUUUUUGUUCUAAUCCAGAAACUAUGGCUUUAGCUGCCAAUGUUUCAGCACAAAUUAGCAGUAUUCCUAUGCUGAAUGGUUCAAACUUUAAAGUUUGGAAAGAUACCGUGGAGAUUGUCCUCGGUUGUAUGGAUCUAGAUAUAGCUCUUCGAGAGGAGAAACCCACUUCCACUCCGGAAAACCUUAAUGAGGUUAAAAUAGAGAAGUGGGAGAGAUCCAAUCGAAUGAGCAUUAUGAUCAUGAAACGCUCAAUUUCUGAGGUGUUUCGGGGCUCAAUUACUGAGGAUAAAGAUGCCAAACAGUUCCUAAAGGAUGUUGAGAAAUUCUUUACUAAGAAAUUCAGUGCUCACAUGGCUUUAUCUUCUCAGUAUAAAAGAAAGCGUGAUACUACUGCGGAUGCGCUUUCUCAGCAGAAAAGGCUAAGAAACAGGAUCAAGUUUCAACCUGUUUCUUCUGUAAGAAGGUGGGACACAUGAAGAAGANNNNNNNNNNNNNNNNNNNNNNNNNNNNNNNNNNNNNNNNNNNNNNNNNNNNNNNNNNNNNNNNNNNNNNNNNNNNNNNNNNNNNNNNNNNNNNNNNNNNNNNNNNNNNNNNNNNNNNNNNNNNNNNNNNNNNNNNNNNNNNNNNNNNNNNNNNNNNNNNNNNNNNNNNNNNNNNNNNNNNNNNNNNNNNNNNNNNNNNNNNNNNNNNNNNNNNNNNNNNNNNNNNNNNNNNNNNNNNNNNNNNNNNNNNNNNNNNNNNNNNNNNNNNNNNNNNNNNNNNNNNNNNNNNNNNNNNCGGACCCCUAAAUUUGGCGGACUUUGAAGUCUGCAUUGAGUGCAUAAAGGGAAAAAAGGACAAACGAAAGGAAAUUAGGUGCCGAGAGAGCUAAAGAUGUCUUAGAACUGAUACAUACCGAUAUAUGUGGCCCAUUCCCUACUGUCUCUUGGAAUGGACAACGGUACUUUAUUACGUUCAUAGAUGAUUACUCUCGUUACGGGUAUCUAUAUUUAAUUCACGAAAAGUCCCAAGCCUUGGAUGUUUUCAAGUCUUUCAAAGCUGAAGUUGAACUUCAACUUGGAAAGAAAAUUAAAGCUGUCAAAUCUGAUCGUGGUGGUGAAUACUACGAAAGAUAUGAUGGUACAGGUGAGCAACGUCUCGGGCCUUUUGCUCUUUUCCUAGAGGAGUGUGGUAUUGUUCCACAAUACACCAUGCUAGGCAAACCUAGCAUGAAUGGUGUUGCAGAGCGAAGGAACCGAACUCUUAAAGACAUGGUGAGAAGUAUGAUUAGUCAUUCUUCCUUAUCUGAAUCACUCUGGGGAGAAGCCUUAAAGACCGCAGUGUACAUCCUUAAUAGGGUGCCAAGCAAAGCAGUUAACAAAACUCCAUAUAAAAUUUGGACUGGAAAAAGGCCAAGUAUAAAGCAUUUGCAUAUUUGGGAAUGUCCAGUUGAGACGCAACCUUAUAGGCCGCAUGAAAGAAAAUUGAACUCAAGGACAAUCAGUUGCUACUUUGUUGGUUACGCUGAGCGUUCACGGGGGUACAAGUUUUAUAAUCCUGCAUCAAGGUCUAUUUUUGAGACGGAAAAUGCGAGAUUUCUUGAGGAUGUUGAGUUUGGGGGGAAGGAAAUAUUAGGAAUGUUGCUUUUGAUGAGGAUUCUAUAACUGACAAUUAUCAGGACCUUGUGCCUAUUAUUGUUCAAGAUACAGUUAUAGUACAAGAGCACAAUGAGAAUCCUACUGUAAAUCCAGUUACAGUACAAGAGAACAAUGAGAAUAUUGUUGUUGCUCAAGAUACUGCUACAGUACAGGAAAAUAAUAAGAAUCCUCCUCAACCCCAACCCAUUCAGCAAGCUCAACAAUCUCAAGAAGUGUCAUUAAGGAGAUCCAAUAGAAAAAAGGAGAAAUCCAUCUAUGGUCUCAAACAAGCUUUCCGUUAAUGGUAUCACAAGUUUAAUUAAGUCAUUACCUCAUGGUUUUGAGGUAAAUAUUAUAGAUGAGUGUGUAUACCGCAAGUUCAGUGGGAGUAAAUACAUCCUUUUGGUCUUACAUGUUGAUGACAUUCUACUUGCCAGUAGCGAUAUAGGCUUGUUGCAUGAAACUAAGAAAUUUCUAUCGAACAAAUUCGAAAUGAAAGAUCUUGGUGAUGCCUCUUUUGUAUUAGGAAUCGAGAUACUAAGAUAUUACUCUCAAGGUAUUCUUGGAUUGUCACAAAAGAGCUAUAUCGAAAAGAUUUUAAGUAGAUAUGUCAUAGAAAGUUAUAGACCAAUGGACACACCCGUAGUUAAAGGAGACAAGUUUAAUCUCAAGCAAUGCCCCAAAAUGAUCUUAAGAAGACAACAAUCCAUGAUAAACCUUAUGCAUCAGCACUAGGGAAUUUAAUGUAUGCUCAAGUCUACAUGCAUCCCGAUAUAUCAUUUAUAGUGGGAGUGUUGGGUAGAUACUUGAGCAAUCCGGAUAUGGAUCACUGGAUAGCUGUUAAACGCGUAAUGCGUUGUUUAAAGAGAACAAAGAAUUACAUGCUUAUUUAUCGGAGAUCAGAAAAUUUGGAGAUCAUUAGGUACUUUGAUUCCGAUGUCAUGGCAUAUGGUUGCGAAACUUUGUCACUAAGCUUCAUAUAGUAGAUGACAUUGAAAGGCCAUUAAAGAUAUUUUGUGACAAUAAGUCAGCAGUAUUAUACUCCAAUAACAAUAAAAACUUGACAAAAUCGAAGCAUACAGACAUCAAGUUCUUAGUUGUUAAGGAGAAAGUUUAAGAAAAAACCAGAUUUUCAUAGGACAUAUAGGAACAGAGUGUAUGCUAGCAGACCCAUUACCAAGGGAUUGACCCCUAAAGUUUUUUUAUGAGCACACUGCUCGGAUGGGUGUCAAUAUUUGUGAUGCCUUGGUUUAGUGGGAGUUUUAUGCUAUAUGUCCUAUGACAGAUAAUUGAAUUAUUUUUUCUGCAGAAUUAAGUUGAUGGUUUAUUUCAUGUUAUAUGAAAUGUUCAUUUUGCAAUAUUUGUAUUGUGUUUGAUCUCAAUAAAGUUGGACCUGCUGAAAAUAGACAUGCAUGAGAUCACUUGGCAUGUAAUUUCUAUAUUACUCAUCCAAAUUUGAUCUAUGUCGUUAAGUAUAUUAGGAUGGUGAUUGUCGUGGUUUAGUCACGGCAUUUAAUGUGAUAAAAGCUGCAAUAGUUCCAUAUCUAAUGUAUGAGACAGACCAGAUUGUUAAAGUAAUGAGAGAAAUAGCAUUCAGAUGCGCGCAUAAAGUUUAUAAAGAUGUGAUUAUGUCAAUAAAUAAUAUAUGUAUAGCCCAAGUGGGAGAUUGUUAGGAAAUUAUUUGAUUUUCUAACUUAUUUGUGGGCAAUACAUAUAUUAAUUAUAAUCACAAAUUAUGCUAUUUCAAAUUAAAUGACUUAUAUAAUGAUGAUCUCUCCGAUCGUAUGAUUCAUGUUUAUGAAUUCAGGACGCUUCCGCAUUAUGAUAUGACAUAUUUUUGAUGAUUCAAUAUGGAUGAUCUGGGUUAUUGAAAUUAAUUUAUUCCAACAGCUGCUCCCUAAACUUUUACAGCCGAAAAUGGUUUGUCAUUUCUUUUCUGAAACCCGUUUCUAUAUCUUGAAUUCGGCUUAGAACGGAGACACUUGAGAUAUUCAUAGCACAGUAAACUGAUUCAAGAAAGUAUUAUAUGAUGCUUGCAGUUAAGAGGCAACGAACUAUACAACAAAUGGAAUUAGAUGAUCUCCUAAAGCAAGGAGCUGGCCAGCGAAAUCCUCAUUUCAAAGCCGGAAACCAUAACCGGCACUGGGGAUACGAGGGACGGGUGUACCCAGAGCCGGGGGUGGGGGGGCGCAAGUAGCCCCACUACCAUUUUUAAAAAGUGUUAAAAAGUAUAUAUGUAUAUUGUAUAUAGAUUUAUGCACUCAUUAUAAAAUUAUGUUUGCUUCCAUAUAAAAUAAAAAAUUAUUUUCCAUAACCGGCACUGGGGAUACGAGGGACGGGUGUACCCAGAGCCGGGGGUGGGGGGCGCAAGUGUUCUAAAUUUAUUUUAGAUAAAUUAUAAUUCCACACUGAAUAUACGUGACAAAUCAAAAAAAUUUGGCAAGUUAAUGGAAUCAAAUCAUAUUUUUAUAACAUAUAUAAGAAUGUAUAUUUCUAUUAUAUAAAAAUUAGAUUUCUGCACUUAAUGAUAUAGUUGACUUGACAUAUUUUUGAGCGUGUUUCUUAAUUUAUUUCUAUUAUAUAAAAAUUAGAUUUCUGCACUUAAUGAUAUAGUUGACGUGGCAUAUUUCUGAACAUGUUUCUUAAUUUAUUUUUUAUAACUCAUUGAAUACAAUUUAUUACAGUAAAUUAAUUAUAUCAACUAAUUGAUUUGAUUAGAUAUUUAAAUAUCACACGAUUUAUUAUAAUUAUAUCAAUCAAUUAAUUGUAAUUUAUUAUAUCAACUAUUUUAAUUCAUUAAUUAUAAUGUACAUAAUAACAUAGAUGAUUUAUUACUAAAUACAAUAAAUAUAGAUUAAUAGAUUAAUUUAGUUAAAAAAAAUCAUUGUCUCCUAUAUUUUUCUAUUUAUUUUUUUAAUUCAUUAAAUCCAAUCAAUUAUAAUAAAUUAAUUAUAUUAACUAAUUAAUUCAAUCAAUUGUUUCUUAAUUUAUUUUUUUGAAUUCAAUCAAUCAAAUAAAAUCAAUUAUACUAAUUAAUUAUUUGUACCAACUAAUUAUAUUUUUUAUUCCUUCUAUUUUUAUUUUACCACUAUAAAAGACCAUAUAUGCUAGAAGAAAAUAUUAUUUGUUUACCAAUUACUCUUUCAUUAGAUAACUUUUAUAACAAUUCUUUUUCUUCUUAUGAAGCGUCGUCGCAAGAAGGCAACUAUCAUGGACACAAACCACCACACACUCUCCAACUCCCGUGCUCAUCAUUCAGAAUAAUAUAUGAUAUAUUAUUCUUGAAGCAUUUAUAAACCAUGGUAUUAUCAUGUAUGCAUAAAUAAACAAAAUUUCGUAUUUAAAAUUAAGUCAUUUACCUGUUUGUGUGGUAUAUUGUAGUGUGAAAUUUCUUUUAAUUUGUGUUGUACAAUGAUAUUAUGGUCUAAUUUAAGCUUUUACUUUAGAACUAUGUUAUGAUUUUAUUUCAUCAUUUUCUCUUACAUAUCAAUUUGACGUAUUUUUAUUUAUUAUUAUUGAAACGGAUGUAAUAUGAAAUUUACAAAAAAAAAAAAAAUCUCACAUUCAAUUUAUUUUAUUGUAGUCUUCUAUCUUUUCUAUUUCUUUUUAUUUUCUUCCUAUUCAUUUUAUUUUCUUCUUAAAUAUCAUAUAAUUUAUUAUAAUUUAUACCAAUUAAUUCAUUAUAAUUCAUUAUAUCAGUUAGUUUAAUUCAUUAAUUUAUAAUAAAAUAGAUCAUUUGUAACUUAUAACGUUAAUUCUUCUAAAAUCUAAAUCUGAAUAAUUAUAUUUUUAUUUUUUCUUGAACAAAAUAUUAUUAAUAAUUAACCACUCAUACUUUUAAUCAAAGUAUUUGGAUGAUUUUUAUAUUUAUUAAUAUUAAUUGUUGAUUAUUUUUUCGUAAAUAAAUUGUAUUAUAAUUUUAUGUUAGUUCAUAAUUGAUUAACGAUUGAUGUUCAUGAAACUAUGUUAUUCUAAAUUUUAUAUUUUACAAAUAUUUUAUUUAGUAUAAUUUUUUAAACAUAAAAAUGUAUUAUUUUUAAUAAUAUCAUACUUUNNNNNNNNNNNNNNNNNNNNNNNNNNNNNNNNNNNNNNNNNNNNNNNNNNNNNNNNNNNNNNNNNNNNNNNNNNNNNNNNNNNNNNNNNNNNNNNNNNNNNNNNNNNNNNNNNNUUAACUAAAAUUACUAAAAUAUAAUAAUAUAAUUGUUCGGUAGUCGGGUACUGGACGGUUCGGGUAGGUAUCCUGGAUGAAGAGGGGGAGAUCUCACCUGGUCGUACGUCACCGGGUUGGGGGGAGACGAUGUCCCGAGCACUUCGCGUGAGGAGGGGGUGUCACCUGCAAGGACACUCCGACGCUCUAGUCAGUGAUGUAUGCAGGCGAAAAAAGGGUAAGUGGUAUGUAACGUACCUUUAGGGAAGGGCAGGACCUUCCCCAUAUAUACCGUGUCAGAGGUGGGCCCAUCAAGGACAGGCCCACCUUCCUUGAUACUUCUUUCACACAGCUGUAGCGUAGCUGUCAAGGACGCGUGUCCGGGUCGGCGACUGGGCAUCUCGCUCCUGACCGUUCGGGUCGGGUGGUGCUCGGGUCGGGCCGGCCCACUAGUAGUUUGGGUCAGGCCGUAAGAGUGCCCCAACGCGCCAGCAAUGAUCGUGAAGGUGGUUGGUGGCGCGUUAUCUCUUAUUCCGUGUGUUGUCGCCAGGUCGGCCGCCCGUGGAGGAGACGUGCCUCUUGCGCGCGUGUCUGUUUGUUGCUGAGGUGACCGUUUGUCGCCUCGUUCUUCGCACGGAGCAUUAAAUGCUCAUAAUGGGUUGGAAAACUCUGUGCGCAAAGACCAUUUUGCCCCUAGGCCUUUCGCGCUUCCUAAGUGGCAGUUUUAAACAGUUUUGCAUUUGUUUUCCUUUCCCACUCUUGCUUAUCAUAUUUUCUUCUUCUUCACUCCCAAAUAUCCCAAAGCCUCGUUCUAGCAUCCUUGUGCAUCUCUUUUUUCUUCCAAGUUUUCGCAACCAAUCCAUGUAAACAUUGAUCCAAUUCAGACAACGGGGCGCAGUUCACUGAUAAGAAGUUUGUAGAGUUCCUCGCCGGCUUGGGCAUCAAACAGAAAUUCUCUUCGGUAGAGCACCCCCAGACAAACGGACAAGUCAAGUCCGCAAAUAAGAUCAUCUUGCUGGGCCUCAAGAAGCGGCUAGACAACAAAAAAAGGAGUGUGGGCUGAUGAGCUCGCCUCAGUCCUCUGUUCCUACCGUACAACCGAGCAGUCCGCCACGGGAGAAACCUCCUUCUGCCUGACAUACGGGGUGGACGCAAUGAUAUCCGUAGAGAUCGACGAGCCGAGCCCACGGUUACUUCUCAAAGGGGUGGAAGAAGCUGUAGAGAAGGACUUAGUAGACGAAACCAGGGAGAAGGCACACCUGUCAGAAGUAGCACUAAAGUAAAGAAUAGCCCUACGCUACAACACCAAAGUGCUCAAGAGAGAUUUCGAGCAAAACGACCUCGUCCUACGACGCAAUGACAUUGGCCUACCGACCCAGGGAGAAGGCAAACUGGCGGCAAACUGGGAAGGACCCUACAGGGUCAAAGAAGUGAUUGGCAAAGACGCCUACAAAUUAGAGAAUUUCGAUGGAAAGGAAGUCCCAAGAACCUGGAAUGCGGGUAACCUGAGAAGGUUUUACCCCUAGCUCAAGCAUGCCGUCCAGACGAUCUAGCAAACUCGAUCACUCUGUAUUCGCCAUGGUAAUAAACUAGUUUAAUUACCGGUUAAUAUUUACUUGUCAUUCCUACCAAUUCUACUUCUAUUAUCUUUUCUUUUUCUACCCACACAUUACACGACAACAAGUUCCACGACGCGUUAAACGGAACCUCGAUACGGCACCCCGGGACUCAUCACCCCGGAAGCCAUCUAAAUUAAAGCCAUAACAAACGGCUACAACGAUAACAAGAGGCCAUGACCUGGCUUCGCCAGAGUUACCAACGAAACGGUAAACAAACAAGAACGGCAAGCCAACGCCGGUAUAACGGUAACAAAAUAAACGCUACCAAAAGUAAAGAAAGACGAUAAUCACAAGCUGACCAGGCAACUAUUAAAUUAUAACAGUUUCAAAAAUUCUACAACGAUGCCACAAAUCCAUACAAAGCUUAAGCCUAAGGUACAAGAGCUCAUUUCUUAGGCAUAUCGACGAUCUUCCCAUCUUUGAUUGUCUUGAAAACCCCGAUUUCCGACGUAUCGAAGUCCGGAGCCACGAUCUUCACCUGGGCCUUGAGGGCUUCCUCGGUCAUGAAGAUCGCGUUUUUCCCUGCUCUCUAAUCUCUUUAUGCCUCUUCUUAAGCCCUUCAACCUCGGCUUGAACAGCCUUAGCCAACGAGACGGCCUCGUCACGUUCUUUCUCCAAAGGCACCACCCGACCUUGCGCGUCAUUCAGCUGGCUCUCUAGAGUCAUCUCUCGCUCGGUUAAACGGGACACGGUCUCAUCAGAGACUUUCAUCAUCUCCUCGGCAGAUAUAGCUUUCUCCUCAGCAGGCUUGAGUUUUUCCCCCGCCUCGGACAGCUGCUCCUGAAGCAAUUCGACUUGUACUUUGAAUUUGUUGUUGGCCGUGGCAGCAGAUUCGAGCUUUCUUCGUAGUGAAUGCAUCCCCGACAACUCGAACUCGGCCUUUCGAGCUAUUACAGCUCCACGGAGAAGCGUGCGGUACAUCCACCUCGCCUGCCCCGCUAGUUCGGUGCCGAGGAAGUGAUCUUUCGUGCCGGGGAUCAGUUGGGAGUCGAUGAAAGCCCCAGCAUCGAAGUUUCUCUCCAUCACAGUAAGAGUUCCCUCAGGGCUGGAGGACGCCCUCUGCCUCUUGGGAGUGGGGAUAAGCUUCAAGUCGGGAUCCUCUUGUCGGGAGGAGGACGAAUGCCCGAUGCCGGCCGUUUCCUCGUGAAUUGGGGAAGCAUGCGCCCCGGCAAAGUUUUUGUCAAACAUCCCGGUGUCACGAGGUGAAGGCACUGACUGAUCCUUUUUCUCCACAGGAGGGUUCUCCGGUUUCUUGUCAACCUUCUCGUCGGCUUUCUCCUCAUCACUCUCCUCUAGGAAGGUCUUAUACAAACCCUCAAGCCCCGUCACCAAAGCCGACAUCUCCACUGCAACGGACAAACAAACGCAAUGAUAUCCGUAGAGAUCGACGAGCCGAGCCCACAGUUACUUCUCAAAGGGGUGGAAGAAGCUGUAGAGAAGGACUUAGUAGACGAAACCAGGGAGAAGGCCCACCUGUCAGAAGUAGUACUAAAGUAAAGAAUAGCCCUACGCUUGGGAGUGGGGAUAAGCUUCAAGUCGGGAUCCUCUUGUCAGGAGGAGGAUGAAUGCCCGAUGCCGGCCGUUUCCUCGUGAAUUGGGGAAGCAUGCGCCCCGGCAAAGUUUUUGUCAAACAUCCCGGUGUCACGAGGUGAAGGCACUGACUGAUCCUUUUUCUCCACAGGAGGGUUCUCCGGUUUCUUGUCAACCUUCUCGUCGGCUUUCUCCUCAUCACUCUCCUCUAGGAAGGUCUUAUACAAACCCUCAAGCCCCGUCACCAAAGCCGACAUCUCCACUGCAACGGACAAACAAACGUGUUAGUCGUGAAGCCGGCAAAACCAAAUAAAAGCGAUAACAAUGCAAAAAACACAAGGCAAAGCAGCUCACAAAUAUAAUUCCUGGCGACCUCCCGCUCACCCAUAAGGAGGUGGGGGUUCACAUGGUUCUUCCCGAAAACAGCCCACAACACGUCGGCAAUUCUCUUGUCCGUGGCAGACAUUCCCUUAUAAGUCACCUUAAUGAAGGUAUUAGACCCAGCCCCAAAACUCCAGUACGUUGGGAUAAGCCAUUCCCCCUACAACGACAACCAAAAGGGGUGGCGACCUUUGACUGGACGCACUUUAAAAUACUUAUCUUUGAACCCAUGAUAUGAGUCCUCGAACAAGCCAAAGAUCCUCCGACCCUGGGCAGAUCGGAAGGACAUGAACCCCUUCCUCGCUUUCCCCUCCUUGAAAGGAUUUGUAAGGUUGAAGAAAAAGAGAAAAACAUCAACAGACACCGGCAGCUCUAAAUACUUGCAUACCAUCUCGAAACAACGGAUGGAAGCCCAACUGUUCGGAUGCAGCUGUGACGGCGCAACGGAUAUCCGGUUAAGGAGCGCCAUUUGAAAAGAGGAAAACGGGAUGUGAACUCCCACCUGGGUGAACACGGCCUUAUAAAACCAGAUCCAGUCGGCAACCCGGGGGGAGUGGAAAUUAAUUUCGUAUAACUGCUCGCUGGGGGCAGGGAUGAAGACAUCGUAAUUAGCCUCCUCGUCUGUCCCUCCGCAUAGGUACUCGCUUUGUCGGAACUCCGUUAGCUCCUUCUCGGCCAUCUGGUUUGGAGAGUCCUUUAAGUCGGAGGUGGAAGCUCGUGAGACGACGCGAGGCAUACGUACAGUGGGGUUACCACUCGGUUAGUCUAACAGGCCGAGAGCUCGGAAAAACCCAGAAACUAUACUCAACCUAUCCAAAAACUAAAAUCAAGUAUGGCUAAGGCACAAUCCAAGUCAAGAAAGUGGACAUCCUGGAAUGGUAACCCCCUAACGCACCUAUUUAACACUAAAACUAUCUAACAUACGAAUCAAACAAGCAUCAAGGACAAGAAGCAAGCACAAACAACAAACGUACAGAAAAGUCAACAAUAAAGAUAAGAGAACCUUGAAGCAGAGAAGAGAAGGGAUCAAUGUUUACCUGGAUUGGUUGCGAAAACUUGGAAGAAAAAAGAGAUGCACAAGGAUGCUAGAACGAGGCUUUGGGAUAUUUGGGAGUGAAGAAGAAGAAAAUAGGAGAAGCAAGAGUGGGAAAGGAAAACAAAUGCAAAACUGUUUAAAACUGCCACUCAGGAAGCGCGAAAGGCCUAGGAGCAAAAUGGUCUUUGCGCACAGAGUUUUCCAACCCAUUAUGAGCAUUUAAUGCUCCGCACAAAGAACGAGGCGACAAACGGUCACCUUAGCAACAAACAGACACGCACGCAAGAGGCACGUCCCCUCCACGGGCGGCCGACCUGGCGACAACACACGGAAUAAGAGAUAACGCGCCACCAACCACCUUCACGAUCAUUGCUGGCGCGUUGGGGCACUGUUACGGCCUGGCCCAAACCACUAGCGGGCCGGCCCGACCCAAGCACCACCCGACCCGAACAGUCAGGAGCGAGACGCCCAGUCGCUAACCCGGACACGCGUCCCUGACAGCUAUGCUACAGCUGUGUGAAGGAAGUAUCAAGGAAGGUGGGCCUGUCCUUGAUGGGCCCACCUCUAACACGGUAUAUAUGGGGAAGGUCCUGCCCUUCCUUAAAGGUACGUUACAUACCACUUACCCUUUUUUCGCCUGCAUACAUCACUGACUAGAGCGUCGGAGUGUCCUUGCAGGUGACACCCCUCCUCCUCACGCGAAGUGCUCGGGACAUCAUCUCCCCCCAACCCAGUGACGUACGACCAGGCGAGAUCUCCCCCUCUUCAUCCAAGAUACCUACCCGAACCGUCCGGUACCCGACUACGGAACAAUAAUUCUUUUUUAUAUUAUACAUAUUAUGUAUAUACAAAAAGCUAGCUAUUAAAUCAAUCACUAUAUAUUGUAUGUGUUAUUUAAUUCAUUUUUAAUGUAUAUUUUGUAUUAUUAUAUGUAUCUUAUACAUAUAAUAUAAUUAAUGUAUAUAUAUAUAUAUAUUGUUCUUCUAUUUUUUAUUUUUUAUACCUAAUGGCUACUAGCUAUGAUUCUAUCAAUAGUAUUACCUAUGGUAGAUUAUGUGAUGAAAUAGUUUGGAAAAUAAAUGUAAGAAUUAUAAAGUUAUGGAAAGUCUCAUUCAAAUUUGACAAGAACAAGACAACUUACAUAAAAAUGGUUCUAAUGAAUGUUAAAGUUAGUUGAUUAUUUUUUAUGAUUUUUUCAAAUGAUGCUAGGUCCAAUUUAUAAAUAUUUUUUGUUCGUAUUUUAAAUUUAUUUGAUAAGUAAACCCUUGCAAUCAAAGACAUUGCCAUUUUAUAAGUGCUAAUAAUUUUUAUAUUUAAUUUGUUUUACAGUGUGAUAAAAUUUAUUGUUCAAUCAAGAAUUAUUUGGCAAAGAUGUUUAAGAAUGAACUGAUUGAGGAGAAGGUCUAUGUCUUCUCAGAUUUUAUGAUUGAGGAAUGAAGUGAAAUUUAUCUUCUGACUGCACACGUGUGUAGAAUAAAUUUUAAGGAGUCGCGUAUAAUAAAUACGGUCGAUGAUCGUAAGAUUUCUGACAAUCAUUUCAGUUUUCUUACUCAUGCUGGUAUAUUGAAACAAACAAAUAAACAAUCCAACUUAUUUAGUACAUAGUUAAUUUGUAUUAAUAUACACAAAACUGUUUUUUUUUUAUUUUUGCCAAGAAAUUAUAUAAUAGCAUUAUUUUAUCGAUAACAUAAAUUUUAAUAGUUUAUUUAUACAAAUGUUUAAAAUUGUAUUGCGACUUUUUAAAGGUAUGUCCUUUUAUUAAUAUAUUGUUAGUUUAUUAUUUAAUAUAAAAUAAAUUGGUAAAAUUUCUUUAAUUUAUAAGUAAUUUAUUAUGUUAUUCAUUUAUUUGUCCUUAAUUUGAUACUUUUAAUUCAUUUUUUCUCAAUUAGAUGUUAUUGGUCUCUUGACUAGAAAAGAAAAGCUUAUAUCAUGAUCAAAAAUAGGAAGAAGUGACCAUUACAUUGUGGUUGAUCUUCAUGAUUUGGAGUAUGUGAAAUUUUAAUAUUUCACAAUGAGAUUUUAUUUUGUAACAAUUAUCUAUACAUAUGAAAAAUAUUUUAUCUUUAUUAUAUAUUAUUACUUAUUUCUCUUAAUUUUUACUUUUAUUUAGAAAUAAGGAAAAAUAAGGUGCAUACUGUGAGAUCAAUUUACAACCUAAUUAUUCAAUUAUCUACUUGAUCACCAAACAACCGAAUCAUAUUUAUUCUCCAAUUUACAAAUUUUAACAAAGACAUUGGUAAGCAUAUUGGUUUACCUUUUAUUUAACAUAUUUGUUUAUGUUAUAUUUGUAAUCAUAUUAUAUCUAUUUUUACGAAUAUAUCUUUUUAGAAAAUACACUUAGUAUUAGUAUAUGGUGUAUUAAAUAAAUAUUAGAGGUUUUAAAUUAUGCAAAUGUUUAAAAUUGUAUUGCGACUUUUUUAAAGGUAUAUCAUUUUAAUUAUUAAUAUAUUGUUCGUUUUAUCGUUUAAUAUAAAAUAAAUUGGUAAAUUUUUUUUAAUUUAUAAGUAAUUUAUUAUGUUAUUCAUUUAUUUGUCCUUAAUUUAAUACUUUUAAUUCAUUUUUUUUCAAUUAGAUGUUAUUGGACUCUUGACUGAAAAAGAAGAGCUUAUAUCAUGAUAAAAAAUAGAAAGAAGUGAACAUUACAUUGUGGUUGAUCUUUUUGGAAUAUGUAAAAUUUUAAUAUUUCACAAUAAGAUUUUGUUUUGUAACAAUUAUCUAUACAUAUACAAAAUAUUUUAUCUUUUUUGUUAUAUAUUAAUAUUACUACUUAUUUUACUUAAUUCUUGCUUUUAUUUAGAAAUGAGAAAAAAUAAGGUGCACACUGUGAGAUCAAUUUACAACUCAAUUAUUCAAUUAUCUAUGUUAUAUUUUUUCAACUGAAUACAUACUUAUUUUUUAAUUUGCAAAAUUUAAUAAAGGUAUUAGUAAGCAUAUUGGUUCAACUUUUUAUUUAACAUAUUUAUUUAUGUUAUAUUUGUAAUCAUAUUAUAUCUAUUUUUACGAAUAUAUCUUUUUAAAAAAUACUCUUAGUAUUAACAUAUGGUAUAUAUUAAAUAAUAUUAGUGGUUUUAAAUUAUUUAUUAUUUAUUAGAGAACUUUGUGCAUUAGAAUUCUCUAAUAAUUUGUUUAUUUUAAACUGAUUUUGAUAUGUUCUUACUUCAUAGUAAAAUAACAAAUAAAAAUUUGUUGGUGAAAAGUAUUACUAGAUUAUUUAUGGUCACAUUGGGUAUAUAUGUCUGAUUUAUUGAAAAAAAUUGAUAACUAAAAUCGAUUAAUAACUAUUUUAGAGUUGAUACACUUAACACUAAAUUAAAAAAAAACAAACAAUACAUAACAUGUUACUUUUUUAUUAAUCAAAUUAUUAUAAUUAAAAUUAAUUUUAAUAAAAUAACUUAAAAUUAUAAUUUCAAUCUUAUCACGUACAUGACACAGGUUAUUAUACUUGUUUUAUAAAUAGAAGAGAGGAGAAUGUCAUUUUAGAAUCUCUAAAAAAAGAAGAGUAAAAUUUUCUCUAAUAUUUAUUAAUAAAUUGAUGGAUUUUAUACUACAUUUAUAUUUUGAUAAUUAAUCUCAUUGUUACUAUUAUUAUAUGUAAUCAAUUUAUAAAAAAGUGAAUUUAAAAUCUCGUCACUACCUAUUUAUAUACCAAUAUUAAUAACAAAUAAAUGAAAGAUUAUUUANNNNNNNNNNNNNNNNNNGAGAAAAUGACAAAAAUAAUCUUCAUUUUUUAUAAUAAAAAAAAUAUUAGAAAAUAUGAUAAAAAUAACCAAAAAUAAUAUAUUUUUAAAAAAGUUACCAAAAAUAAUAUAUUUUUUCUAAUGAAUGCGUGUAGUAUGAUUAUGAAUAUCAUAAGAAAACUGAGUGAAUCAUGGGAAAAUUACAAUAUCAUAAAUUCAUACGACUUGUUCUUUCCUUCAUCCAUCAAGAAAAAAGACAAAAUUAUAAUGUUAUCCUAUACUUUUUUUAGCUUUUUUUUAACAAACAUUGGAUGUUUUUAACUUCUAAGAUUUAUGACUUUUUUUUUUUGUUAAGAAAGAGUUGAUUGCUCAAUUGCUUAAUUCGUAAACAUUAAAAAAAAAUAAUAAACAUUAAAUAUCUUUUUAUAUUGUAUUAUUUUAUAUAACUUAAAUAUUCACCAACUUUUUUUCUAUUUUUUUGUUAUUCUUUCUAACAAAGCACCCUUUAGCCUCUAAGAACUCUUGUGGUGGAGGAAAAAUAAAAGAAGAAAUACAAUUACCCCUAUUUGCAAUGCAUACUGGUAAUUCGAUAAUAAGAAGUCUGAAAACAAAGGAAGAAUGUCUUGAUGAUGUCCUCAAUUUAGCGAGCACAUGCAACCUUAGCACCACCUGGUACUUUGUCCGUUUCGUCACAUACUUUAGAAGAAAAUUUUAAAGCUGGGCAUAUCCAGAUAAAAAAAUUAUGAAAAAAAGAUAAAUUAGUUCCUAAGUUUUUAUUUUGUAGACGAAUUUGUCUGUGAAGAUCUAAAAAUACAAAAACGUCUUUUAUUAUUCAAAACGUGUGACGAAUCGAUCCUUCCGUGUAAAAUACUUUCCCAAACGUAACGGAAACGGAUGAUGUGUCGCUUAGUUGGCGUGUGUUGGACCUAUGUGUCAAGAUGGUACCAUUGAGAAAGCUUGGUGUGGCCGUUUUGAAAAAAGUGUUGGACAAAUAGGUCCUUAUGACUUAAAAUAGCAACGUUUGAGAACAUUAGCUGUAGUCCUUGAGUUUCAAUGUAAUUCCAAAGAAGCCAUAUGAAUCACACACAAUUACCUGAUGCCCUAGCACACAUAUGUAUGAUCUUUUUCCUAAAAAAAAAACGAUUGAUCUUCUCCCCUUCGUCGUUUUCGUGGAACGUUGCACCGAUGAAGCUUCAUUGGUGGAGUUGACGGUGUCAUCUAUACUGGUAAGCAUCCUUAUUACGAAAUUGAUUGGGACUGUUACUUUCGAAUGUUAUCUGCUAUGCAUGUCUUGGAUUGGGGUUUAGGUGUAACGUAGUGUUGAGAGGGACAUGGAAGAUGGGUUGUGUGGGGUUUAUGGCUUAGGUAGUUGUUAAUUUGCUAAUGCUUAGUGCUAAUCGUUGAGUCAAACAAUGCUGCAGAUGGAUGAUAUUUUCGUGGUUCCUGUUUUUCAUCACGGGGGCUACUUUCAAAGGGCCCCGACUGGUGAGUUAGUUUACCUCGAUGGUAAGGUUGAGAGGUUCCCAUCGAUAGACUUGAAUUUUGUAAAUUUCGGUGAUUUGAUAACAUUGUUCAAAGAUCUGGGAUAUCAAUCAUACAAGGAGGCAUACUGGUAUGAUCCAAAGAGCAAGGAUAUAGAGUCAUGGCUACAUGUUCUGAGGGGAGAUGCAGGCAUCAACUAGAUGCACCAAGUAAAGAUGACAAACAAAGAUACUGAUGAGUUCUAUAUAUUUUUUUUUAUCAUCCUAUUGAUGACUUAGAGCCUGUAAAUGGUGCUGGUAAGGAAAACGAUGAGGUAGAGGAAGAUGAUGUUCGUGUCGAGGUGGAUGAAUUGGAUCAGUCGUCGACGGAACACAAUAGUUACGAGAGUGCAGAGGAUGAGCUGUAUGCACCUCCACCUCCCGGUAAUGAAGGUAACAGUGAGAGUGGGAAAGAUGUUGUCAGUGGGUCUGUGUCUGGCAAAGGGAAGAGGAAACAAGUGCCUGAUUCCUCUAAGAGAACCCCUCAACCCAGGAAGCAACCAAGAAACAAGCUCGACGUGUGUCUCAGAGAACAAGGUCUGUUGCAAGAAAGAAUAGGUCUGCCCAUGAGCCCAAGGCAGGUGGGCCUGGAGGACAGCCCAAUGGAUCUAGGUCUGUAGGGGAGCCCAAUAGAUCUAGGCCUGCAAGGGAGCUCAAUAGGGCCAAAGGACCAAGGGCAGCACUUGUAGACUAUAUCAGUGAUGUAGACACAGAUAGUGAUGAUAUUGUAUGGGAGUAUGAGUCUGAGAAGCUACAUACACCCGUUUCUUCUGAGGAUGAGGGAAACAAACAUCAUUGGCCUGAGUUCAAUGACCAAUAUAGUUUCGGAGAGAAAAAAUUUGAGCUUGCAUUGGAACAAGGUUUGCAACAAUUGAGAGGUUCAAAGAGGUUGUAAAGGAUACCUUUAUUGCUGAAGGCAGGGAGUUGGUUUGGAUCAAGAAUGACAGGGAAAGCGUUAGGGUUGGGUGCAAGGACAAAGAGUGUCCUUGGAUUGCCCACUUGUCUUACAAUCAGCAAUUACAAUGCUUCCAAGUCAAGACUUAUAGAAAUGAGCACACUUGUGCUAGGGACCUUGGAAGCAACACCGCUGAUCAACACUGGAUUAGUAAAAAGGUGGAGAAGAGGAUGGCAACACACCCGCAUAUGACAACUCAUGAAACUAUUGAUUUUUUAAGAGAAGACUUUGACCUUACUGCACACCUAAAGAUGGUGUAUAGAGCUGUGAAGGAGGCAAGGGAGAUGAUGAUGGGUAACGAAAGGGAAUAGUAUGAAAAAUUGAGGGAUUACUUAUUAGAGAUACAUAGAAGUAAUUCUGGGUCUUCUGCAUUGCUAGACCUGACUCCUCAGCCUCAAGCACCCCCUACAUUUGACAAGUUGUAUGUUUGUUUCGAAGCCUGCAAGCGGAGAUUCAAGAGUGGCUACAGACCAUUGAUCCACCUGGAUGGAGCAUUUCUUAAAACAUACCAUGGGGGACAACUACUUUUUGCUAUUGCACAAGAUGCUAACAACCAGUUCUACGUGGUUGCAUAUGCAGUUGUAAGAUCUGAAAACAAAGAAUCAUGGAAGUGGUUCCUAACACUAUUGCAAGAGGAUAUUGGUGAUGUUGGCAACCACAGUUGGAAUUUUAUGUUGGAUUAACAGAAGGUUAGUUCCCUUUUUGUCAUUCCCUGUUUGUUGUGUCAGUCAUUUAGUGAAUUAUAUAUGUUUGUAAACAUGGCUUGAUGCAUUCAUUGUUAUUAGGGACUGCUACCUGCACUGAAAGAGGUAAUGCCUAAUGCACAUAUCAGAAACUACGUCAUGCAUAUGUGAAAGAAUUUCAUAAACCGAUUCAAGGAUCUGUAUAUAAGAGAAAUAGUGUGGGACUGUGCAAGAUGCACCACCAUCUCUGAAUUCAAGACAACCAUGGAAACACUCAAAGAAGUGAACAAGGAUGCUUGGGCCUACCUUAUGAAAUUUGAACCUGCUACUUGGGUUAGAGCAUACUUUAGCCAUGGUCCUAAGGUCGACAACCUAACAAACAACAUGUGCGAGUCGUUUAACGCAAAGGUGGUGAAGUAUAGAUGCAAGCCCAUACUUACAAUGUGCGAGGAAUUACGGUGCUAUAUAAUGCGACGAAUGGUUCAACACAAGAAAUUGCUGGAGACUCAUGAAGGAAAAUUGGCGCCAGUGCAAGAGAAAAGGAUAAAGAGGCUUAUCAAACCAAGCAACAAAUGGACAGCACAGUGGAUUGGUGAUAACGAGCGCAAACAUUUCGAAGUCACUUACAAGGGAUCCAAACUUGAUGUGGAUCUGAUCAAAUACAGCUACUCGUGUAACAAAUGGCAACUCACUGGUCAGUCAAAGCUUGAAUUUCAAUUUUAACGUGCUGUGAAUCAUAGUUGCUGUGAAUUUCAAUUUUAAACAUAGUUGAUGUGAAUCUGAUUAAACAUGCUGUGAGUUUCUAUUCUAAUCAUUGUGUGAAUUUUAACCUUGGACAUGCUGUGAAUUUCAAUUUUAAACAUAGUUGGUGUGAAUCUAAUUAAACAUGCUGUGAAUUUCUAUUAUUUUUUGAUAUUUUAAUCAUGUUUAUGCCAUUAUGUUGUUGUCAAACUGCUGUCCUACCAUGAAGGGAUACCAUGCAUUCAUGCUAUAGCAGCAAUAAAAAAACAACAUGAUAACCCCGAUGAUUAUGUCCAUCCAUGGCUAUGUAUGGAGUCUAUUAAAAAGACAUACAAGCAUUUAAUCCAGCCAGUAACUAGUGAGAAAUACUGGACAAGGUCUGAGUUUACUAAGCCUGCUCCACCUGUGUUAAAAAGGCCAAUUGGACAUCCCAAGGUGCAUAACAGACAGAAAGACCUAGUUGAGGCUGUUAUUGAUGGUGACAAAUUGAAGAGGAGUUUCUAUGUCAUGUGUAGCAAGUGUGGUGAGAGGGGACACAACUACAAGACGUGCAAAGGGACCCCAUCCAACCCAAAUUCGAAGCUAAAGGUGAAAAAACCAAGGAAGAAGCCCAAGGACUCCCAAUUACUUGUGGUUCUACCAUUGUCACAGUUAGCCCCCCCAGGAAAAAGGUAAUCCUUAGUUACUCAGGGAUGUAAUUGUCCCCCCCGAUAAUAAACUUAGGGAUUUAAGUGUCUAUUAUAAUUUUAUUUAGGGUGUUUUCUGUCUAUAUUUUAACUCUUCAGGGUUUUAAAUGUCUUAUUCUAUAAAAUGCUUCAUUGGGACUGUUAACACUAAGUGUCUUGUUUCAUUUCAGACUGUGGAACAGAGUCACCCUGCUGCUACGAACCCUCCUCAUGUUGAACAAAAUUCUGCUAAUCAUUCAUUUGCUAAUGAGGUAUGGAUUUUGGUGGCAGGAAGAUAUUGUUGCUUGCUAUUUUCAUUGCAUUCACACUUGUUUCGACCUUGAUGCAGGAUAAUUCGAAUGUAAACGCUGCACCGAUGUUUGAGCAAAAAUCUGAACCCUCAGUAGCAGCGGUUGCGACACAAUCAAUGCCUCCGAAAGCACCAUUAAGGCCCCCAGCCCAGUCUUCAUCACGCUGUGCACCAAGGACAUUUAGGCCUAAGCAAACAGUUAGGAGAAAGCAUAUGGCAAACAAACCCUCUCAGCCUAUGCCACCUCCUUAGACUGAACAGCAUCUCCCCUCUCCACAACAACUAACUACAUCAGGAGCAUCUCUACAGACUUUCGCAGCAGCAAGCAAAGAACUCAACGGCUGUUUAAGUUCAUCCCCACUCCAGGAUUAAACAAGCUGAGUAGUUAAUGCUACAUGUUUAGACUUUAGUUAUGAUAUCAACAUCUUUUUUGGAAACGCUGUUAUUUUACAAAGCAACUCUUUUUGGAAACAAUGUGAUUAUGUAUAGCUUGCAGGCUUAAGUUAUGCCUUACUUUGGCAGUAGGCAUGUUUAGACUUCUUUUGUCGACAUUAACAUCUCUUUCAUGAGAUUAAUUUAUGCUUUACUUAUAUAAUCAUAUCUCUAAAUAAUUAUGCCAUUAACUUGCUUAGGGCAAUCACUUUGCUGAAUAUAACAUAAUUUAGCUUACAACACUUUUGUUCGAAAAGCAUACAAUAAAAAGAGAACUCAUCCCAUCCCAUAUUACAUUACAUCAAGGUUCUGAAAACCGAACCGGUCAUCGAACCGUUUUAGUUACUGGUUUACUGGUUUAUAGGUUCAACCGGUUUGACUAUCAGAAUCAAACCAACAAUCAGAAUAAAAAAGUUCAGAAUAAAAACAGAUCAGAAUCAAAAUCAAACAGAGGCUCAAUUACAGAUUCAAAUGCAAGGAAGGAUGACGGCGCUGGAAACGGAGAGCUGGCGACGGUGGAACAAAGCUUCGCGACGGAGGCAGGAGACGAACCCGACGACUAUGCUUCCACUGCUGAGAGUCUGAAACGUUAGCUGAGUGAGGGACUGAGUGAGCUUCGAAGCUCCAACCAGCGACGGCGUUAGGAGUAGUCCGGCGGCUGAACGAAAAGGAGGGACUGAGCUCGCCGACGUUGAGAGGAACGGUUAGCUCGAGGGUGAUGGGAAGGACGAGGGAGGGUCUGUUGCUGCGCCGUUGGAGAGAGUGUUGGAGUGAGUUAGGGUUGGUAACGGGUAAGGUUGGGGUUACUGAGUGCUAAACGACGCGUUUUGAGAGUUUUUGGGCAAAGUGAAAAAAACCGGCCGGGUCCCGGUUCGGUUCGACUGACCGGUUACCGGCCGGUUUAGCGGUUCAACAACGGUUUUCAUUUUUUUCGGUUUUAACAUAUAACCGAAUCGUAUUUCUCAUCGGUUCGCGGUUCAACCGGUUCGACCGGCCGGUUCGAACCG